RNAcentral lists this long non-coding RNA (484 nucleotides) under Manihot esculenta (cassava). RNAcentral describes it as "long non-coding RNA (MESC_LNC000072)". The record is from RNAcentral. Lineage: Eukaryota; Viridiplantae; Streptophyta; Magnoliopsida; Malpighiales; Euphorbiaceae.
CUGUGAGCAGCUCUUAACAUCCCUUCACCCUCACGGGUUCCAGGCAGGAUUUGUCCCUCGGGGGAGCCAUUACGGCCCGCCCUAGCCCGAGUGGAUUUGGCCCAAUUCCUUCCUCUGGGAAUUAGGUCGCCUCCUCCACUGCUCGAACCCUUGACCUCCCACUUUAAGGGAAUAGUCUGGUGAGAGUGAGUACCAAUUGUGCAAUUGGUACUCACUCUCACCAGACUAUUCCCUUAAAGUGGGAGGUCAAGGGUUCGAGCAGUGGGGGAGGCGACCUAAUUCCCAGAGGAAGGAAUUGGGCCAAAUCCACUCGGGCUAGGGCGGGCCGUAAUGGCUCCCCCGAGGGACAAAUCCUGCCUGGAACCCGUGAGGGUGAAGGGAUGUUAAGAGCUGCUCACAGUGGCUGGGCCCAGAGGAAGGUCACGGGCUGUGAGCGGUAACAGGGCCGGUCGAAAGGGGCCGGGCUGUUACAUAAAAAGGCGCU